UACUCAAUUACUAGCUUAAACAACUAUUUUUAGAUCAUUACCAAAUAACUCUUACAAUACUAAUAAUUUUCAAUUAAAACAUUCUAAAUUCUUAGUCAUGGGCGACA
Molecule: ribosomal RNA, 107 nt
Filed under: Rachovia brevis
Lineage: Eukaryota; Metazoa; Chordata; Actinopteri; Cyprinodontiformes; Rivulidae
Description: partial 16S ribosomal RNA
Source: RNAcentral